Molecule: long non-coding RNA, 4447 nt
Organism: Pogoniulus pusillus (Red-fronted tinkerbird)
Lineage: Eukaryota; Metazoa; Chordata; Aves; Piciformes; Lybiidae
Exons: 2
Source: RefSeq, a predicted model, not a curated record
UAUGUCUCUACGUUAUUCUCGUGGGGGGAGUUCUUUUGUGAGUACUGCGGCUUCAGAAAUUCAGGCUGUUUGUUUGGGCUGUGAGUGGGAUGAAGAGAAGCAUUUUUAGAAGUUUAUCUUUUAGUUGUUCUUUUUUGCUGUAGCAUAUGUAGAGAGUUCUGGCUUUCCCCUAAGCUUUUGCACUGCAGAAGCUGUGAAGAGCAGCACUCUGGAUGCCAGUAUUACCUGCCAGCUUUUUAUCUUCUCCCAGAGAUGUCGAAACUCGUCAAAGUUUAUCUUCCCUGAGCCGUCUGUCUGCGAUGUGAUGUUCAGCGAUUACCUUCAGGAAGUUACUUGGAAGUUCCUGAUUUACCUCAUGACUGGCUCCGCUGCUGUGUGUGCCCGAUAGAAGAGUGUGUACAAGUAGGGCAGCAGGACGUAGCGCUCUCUGAUGGCUUCCCUGAUGAUCUGGGUGUUCCUCUCCCCAAAGAGCCAUGGUUCUCGCCGUUUGCUCUCCAUGUUAGAAUGACCUCUGAAGAAGGGCUGGUAGGCUCCAGCCUGAUACCAGCGAACAAGUAACUCUGGUUCUGGAUCUCCAAUAAACCCUCCCACGUCAGCUAGACAGUGCACAAACAAAAACUCACAGCUUUGGAAAUCAUUCUAAAAAACCUGAACUCCUCUAACAAGCAUUCCAAGCGCAACCUGUGCAUUUCACAGUGUGCUUGCAGUUCUGCUGGUAGGCAGCUGCUUGUCCAAAUGAGUGGAAAUCUGUUACAACAAGUUACCCUUCAAUAAAAAUCUCAAGAGAGCUUUCAGAUGCCCCAAUGACAGGACCAUCACAGUGAUUCUACAGUACACCACCUAUGGCUGGCUCUUCCAGAUGGGAUGCAAAGACUACAUAAGUAGUAGCAGAGAAAUGAUGGUGAGAGCCCAGUUAUUGGCUUCUGGAACCAGACUAUUUUGUGAAACUGCACUGCAUUGUUGAGCUUUCCACUGCUGGUGUUCAGGUCUCUCUUGGGAUACAAGCUUGUCAACACCAGCAAUUUAUGUACAGUGAGCAAAUGCAGCUAAACACCUUACCUCCACAGAACGAAAUCCCUGCCAUGCUGAGGGUGAGAAGCAUUGGAAUGGAUAUUUUCAAAUAACUCCACUCUGCUGUGUUGUCUCCAGUCCACACUGCCCCUGGAAAUACCCAGUUUCAGCAUUACACCUGGAUGUUGGGCAUAUGAUUCAGUUUAUACUUGCAGUUAAAGGAAGAAGACAAGAACGAUCAUGAACUAUUGGUGAACUGCUGUUCACUGCAACACUUUUUCUCUGUACAUGCAUACUCAGGAAAUAGUCAACAAAAUCAGGGAGUGGUUUGGAACAGAACACAGGCCUGUUCCGUCCUUAACUUGUACACACUUUCUUAGUCUCUCCUGUUUUUUAAUUUUUUUUAUUUUUUUAAAAUCUAACCUUCUGUCUUCUCUAGCUUUAACUAUUACAUACCAAACUGAAGAGAUCAAAGCAGCAUGGAAAGCAUCCAGCUAGUCCCUACUUACCAUACUUCUGUGAUCCCGCAAAGAAAGAUCGUGUGAGGACAAAUGGUCUCUCUUUUCCUGAAGAACGUCUGAUGAGGCCUUCUGCAGUUGCCAUUUGCUAAAAAUCAUUUAUAUAAAAGUCAGGAAGACAAACUCCACAAUUAGGUUACCUGAGGUACUGUCUUUUUAGCCCUUCCAAGGGAAGAAAAUUAAGAAAUCUGUAUCCAAAUACAAUACUUACUAAAGCAACACUUUCUUACUAGAAUACACUUGAACAACAACCACAACAGAUUAAUAUUGUGUAGUUCUGGCCAAUAUAAUUUCCAUUGUCACAGUAGGAAGACAUGGACGUUACAUUUUUUUGUGACCAAUACCACAGUUUAUUACUAAUACAACAAUAUCUGGCACAGCAGAGUUUCAGUCCUUAAUAGAGGUUACAGGAUGCUUACUAGUGUGUAAAUCACCUUAUUAGACAUACUCCUACUGCCAGUUUGUCUGAUACUCUACCUGAUAGAAUCCGUAGAGGUUGUGUACUUCCCGAUGCUCCCAGUUGUUGUAGUGCACAGCAUCUUUCUGCAUUGUUAGUUCUGCUCCUUUGAAGACCGAGGGCUCAUUCAUGUCAUUCCAUACAUAGAGGAUGUUAGUGGAUCCCUAGGAUGCAGGAUUACAGUUAGGAUGUAACAGAGCCACUGCUGUGCCUUAAUGUGUUAACCUCUGCUGGGUGUCAGAUCAGUUUGGGGUCUGACCAGAAAUAGCAGCAGCAAAGCAGGACAAGAUAACUAUGUUUUUGUGGUCGCUUGAAAUAAGCCAGUCACUCAUCUCCUGUCUCUUGGUUGCUGCUCAGGGUGGCAGCCUGCAAGCCCACUUCUAUUAUUGUUUCAAGACGCAGUAGGUACUUGCUAUUCCUGCCUUCUGGAGAGGAAAAGUAGGAAGGGAAAGAGAAAUAUUAACUAACAUGAGAGAAAAAUAUCACAGAAGGCCAAAAGGAAAAAAAAAUGGAAAGGAGAAGCAGUAUAGGAAGUGUUUGCUAGGACAGUGGUUUCAACAACUUUACUAUAAAGCAGAACUUCAGGAUGGGGGUGAGGUGGGACUGUAAGUAAUCAUCAGUGUUCCACUUUCAGCACCAGACAGGAGUGCUGGAGGGAAGGUCAGAGUGAAGUUAUGAGAGAGCGCUCCCACAUUGCUUCCUUUUUGUCCAUCCUAUUGCUGCAACUAAGCAAGCAGGUUCACUGGUGGCACAGGGGUUCCAACUUCCUUAGUGUAGACAAGUCCAUGGAGAAAAUCCUUCUCUGGUACUUCAGCUUAUCACGGUAUUCUCUUCUACAUGUUGAUAAGACAGCAACGGAAGUCACCAACUUACUCAACCUUUAAUCUUCUCUCUUUGACCCCUUUUUAGGCUUUCUGGGAUACAUUUCUCAGAAAACAUAAAUACAAACCUUGUAAGCUUUGAAGGCGAAUUGUUCUGCGUACCAUUUCCGCACUUCAGGAUUGGUGAAAUCCAGGUAGCAGGAGGAACCUGUGGAUGCGGGAAAGCCCAAUUAUUUACAUGAGUUUAAGAUCAGGGGUGCCUUGUCUUUGCACCUAAAUACAGGAACCUAACGCUGGGAGCCUUUCCACAAUGGGAAGCAAUAACGUAGUCAUUAUGGUCUGAGACAAAAGCUCGAGAGAAUUCUAGGCUGACUCAGAACUCAGUGCACUCUUUGCCACAUCCUGCAGACUGAUGCUUGUGGAUUCUGGAGGAGCAGCACCAUUUAAGGGUGACUGCUAGCAGACUGAAAUAGGUUCAGAUAUGAAUAAGAAAGCAGGGAGAGAAAGAAUUCCCAGAAUGUUGAGCUCAAGCAGCAAAGUGUCACUGAGCUAAAUGACAUCUUGCUAUGCUUCUAGAGUUGUAAUGUGUCCUUUGUUUUUUCCAUAUUCACUUGUCAAGACUGUGAGCUUUCUAGUUGUAAAAAAGGGGCACAACCUCCUUUGCCUCUUUUUAAUGCUACUUCCUCAUGAAAAAUAACAUGUCAAAUCUAUUUAUGAUUGAAUCAGUCUUCAGUAUCAGAGUUCACUUAAUUAUAUCCAGCCUACAUGGGCUGUGCUCACUGUAAUAGACCAGGCUGCAUGUGCAUUUCUGUUACCCAAGACAAGCUGAGAAGGAGGAUGGCUAUUCUGACCAAUAAAUCCAACUUCUUUAGUUCUAGGCAUUGGGACUAUCUGCAGGGCUAACUGGCAUAACAGAGAAAAUGAUAAAGCUGAUGCCACUGGAACAUGACUGUACCAAAGAAACCACAAAGCAUUUCAAAUUAUAAUUGUUUACCAGAAAUAAGUGGAUUUGAAAAAUCAAAUUCCACUUCUUUGGGUUCCAAUUAAACUAUUCUGCAAAAUGUUUAAAAUAAGCAGCUUGAAAGGUGGAGAUAGGAUGUUCUCUUACCUGGCCAACAGAUGCCUUCAAAGUCUUUCCCAUUUCUGUCUUUCACAAAAUAUCCCUUCUCUUUUGCCUGUGCAUACAGGGCAUACAUGGGGUCAACCUUAAUGUGGGGAUCUACAAUGACGACAAGCUGCCAGGAUAAGAAAACAAAAUGCAUCAUUAGCAUCAACUGUACUAAAUAAACCAGCAAGAGUUUGCUUUUGAUAAAAGGCAGACAAUGGUUUCACUUCAGGUAGAGACAGAUGUGUUACUAAUUUUAGAAAGGUGCUACUAAUUUUAUAAAGCGGUUACCAGUUCUUGCAUAUAUUGUGUUAGACUCAUGUGUAGUAGCUGAAAUUACAAAGAGGGCAGAACUUAACACCCUCUAUAUGGGGCCAAAACCCAUUUCAGCUAAACACAAGUACUCCAACCCCUAGAAAUGCUGUUUAAUUCACUGUUCUACUCUCUGGAUGGCAAAAUAUCUCACUUUGUGUUUAUGUUCCUGCUUAAUUUCUGUUGAGACAUAUAAAUAUAUCUUAGUUUCUAUAGCAUGCAA